RNAcentral lists this ribosomal RNA (1048 nucleotides) under Kingella kingae. RNAcentral describes it as "bacterial SSU rRNA". It matches the Rfam family "Bacterial small subunit ribosomal RNA", at positions 484 to 1533 of the family's 1533-position model. The record is from RNAcentral. Lineage: Bacteria; Pseudomonadati; Pseudomonadota; Betaproteobacteria; Neisseriales; Neisseriaceae.
GAAUAAGCACCGGCUAACUACGUGCCAGCAGCCGCGGUAAUACGUAGGGUGCGAGCGUUAAUCGGAAUUACUGGGCGUAAAGCGAGCGCAGACGGUUAGUUAAGCAAGAUGUGAAAUCCCCGAGCUCAACUUGGGAACUGCGUUUUGAACUGGCUAGCUAGAGUGUGUCAGAGGGGGGUAGAAUUCCACGUGUAGCAGUGAAAUGCGUAGAGAUGUGGAGGAAUACCGAUGGCGAAGGCAGCCCCCUGGGAUAACACUGACGUUCAUGCUCGAAAGCGUGGGUAGCAAACAGGAUUAGAUACCCUGGUAGUCCACGCCCUAAACGAUGUCAAUUAGCUGUUGGGCAACUUGAUUGCUUAGUAGCGUAGCUAACGCGUGAAAUUGACCGCCUGGGGAGUACGGUCGCAAGAUUAAAACUCAAAGGAAUUGACGGGGACCCGCACAAGCGGUGGAUGAUGUGGAUUAAUUCGAUGCAACGCGAAGAACCUUACCUGGUCUUGACAUGUACGGAAUCUUUCAGAGAUGGAAGAGUGCCUUCGGGAGCCGUAACACAGGUGCUGCAUGGCUGUCGUCAGCUCGUGUCGUGAGAUGUUGGGUUAAGUCCCGCAACGAGCGCAACCCUUGUCAUUAGUUGCCAUCAUUUAGUUGGGCACUCUAAUGAGACUGCCGGUGACAAACCGGAGGAAGGUGGGGAUGACGUCAAGUCCUCAUGGCCCUUAUGACCAGGGCUUCACACGUCAUACAAUGGUCGGUACAGAGGGUAGCCAAGCCGCGAGGUGGAGCUAAUCCCAGAAAACCGAUCGUAGUCCGGAUUGCACUCUGCAACUCGAGUGCAUGAAGUCGGAAUCGCUAGUAAUCGCAGGUCAGCAUACUGCGGUGAAUACGUUCCCGGGUCUUGUACACACCGCCCGUCACACCAUGGGAGUGGGGGAUACCAGAAGUAGAUAGGGUAACCGCAAGGAGCCCGUUUACCACGGUAUGUUUCAUGACUGGGGUGAAGUCGUAACAAGGUAGCCGUAGGGGAACCUGCGGCUGGAUCACCUCCUUU